UUCACCGUAGGGUUCAUCAUUAUCUAUCCGGCGAUUGUUCCUGAAGGCUGCACAGCCUAUCACAUAAACAAUGACUAGGAUGAUUAAUACAAUGAUGUUAAUUACUGACACCUUCCUCCAGCUUUUUCUCAGGCUGCCAAGCACUCCAGCCUUGCAAGAGUUGCAAGAAUAACACAGCUGCUGUUGAUCAUUACUCCAGUUGUUACAGUCAGUGUUGUAAACAACCCCUCCUCCAUAUGUCCAUACAGUUUCAUUCACAUAGGUGAAACCGCAGUCAGUAGGAGGCUUGCAGCAACCAGACUGAAUA
This 307-nucleotide unclassified non-coding RNA is filed under the name Hevea brasiliensis (rubber tree). The record is from RNAcentral. Lineage: Eukaryota; Viridiplantae; Streptophyta; Magnoliopsida; Malpighiales; Euphorbiaceae.